This 102-nucleotide non-coding RNA is filed under the name Trinickia caryophylli. RNAcentral's name for it is "Burkholderia caryophylli Burkholderia sRNA 1". It matches the Rfam family "Burkholderia sRNA 1". Rfam says of the family: Identified by RNA-seq, RACE and Northern blot. The record is from Rfam by way of RNAcentral. Lineage: Bacteria; Pseudomonadati; Pseudomonadota; Betaproteobacteria; Burkholderiales; Burkholderiaceae.
AGUUCUGAUGCACCGAAUUUGCAGGUGGAGAACGAGGAGACAAGCGAGGCACUCAGUGCCCGGACGAAAGCGCUGUUGGAUAGGAUCCAACAGCGCUUUUUA